RNAcentral lists this long non-coding RNA (203 nucleotides) under Homo sapiens (human). Its description in RNAcentral is "non-protein coding lnc-TRIM8-1:1". The record is from RNAcentral. Lineage: Eukaryota; Metazoa; Chordata; Mammalia; Primates; Hominidae.
CUCAGCUGCAAUUCUGAGGGGGGUUUGGGAGGCUUGUGCGAGGUCUCAGGCCUGUGUGGGGAGCUGGUGCCUCUUCCUGCCCGUAUCUUUCUCUUCCAAGGGCAGUGCUCCAAGGCAGGGACUGGAGAAGCCAAGGGGAGAGUCUAAAAGGGCUAGAGCAUUUUUAAAAAUAGACACAGGGUCUUGGGACUGGGGUUUCGGAU